RNAcentral lists this long non-coding RNA (455 nucleotides) under Homo sapiens (human). RNAcentral describes it as "HSALNT0369252". Lineage: Eukaryota; Metazoa; Chordata; Mammalia; Primates; Hominidae. The record is from RNAcentral.
GGGAAGAGUAUUUACCCGCUAAUCUCUUUAUUCCCUCGCCUGACAAAAUAUCUGCAUUCCUGGGCGGCCUCAAGAAAUGAACUACAGACAUCUAUUCCCUUUGUGAUACCUCCUUGGAAUCAAAGUGUGGAGUGUAACAAUGUGCCUCCACACACUCACACUAGUUGAUGCUUCAUCUUGGUGAAAUCAAGUUUUUGGAAUUACCUUUCCUAAGAUCAUUCUAUUCACAGAGAAGGAGCUUAAUGAAUUGUCCAAGAACAAGAAGAAGAAUGAAUGACAAAAACAUAACUACCAUUUCAGACGACCGUGAAAUCCAUGAUUCCAAACUAUAUAAUGCAGGGAAGAAUUACCCUAAGUAAUAAAGGCUGGACAAGGUCAUUGGCUGGGAUUAUUUUGAAAAUAUUUAAUAAAAAGAACGCCUCAGGAAUUAACCAAUUGGAACAGAUUUUGUGGCU